Anopheles darlingi is the source of this 1146-nucleotide long non-coding RNA. RefSeq lists it as uncharacterized. The record is from RefSeq and is a predicted model, not a curated record. NCBI's taxonomy places the organism in Eukaryota, Metazoa, Arthropoda, Insecta, Diptera, Culicidae. The transcript has 4 exons.
ACCAGAAGACGUUGGUUCCGGACUCCCUGGACGGCGGAUCUGAACUCCGGAAUAUCCGGAAAUCGAUCCAAAGAUCAUCCAACAGAUUCGGCAUCAAAGCGAUUGUGUGACACACAGACACACAACAUUCCGUCGUCACCGUGCCUGCCGUGACCUAUCUCUGUCCGAAAGGCGAAGAAGAAGCGUUCGAAAGUGCCGUUAGAUUCCAUUCUUGGGCGUCCGCGCGACAUCCGCGUACCAUCCGCGACUGGAUUGCGUCAACCGACCGACCGACCGAUCGCUUCUUAAGCAUUCUUCGCACGAAACUUUCCCCCCGGCGCGAUCGCGAUUGACCCGAUUCUCCCGGCAUCGCACCGCACGCGCGCUUCAAUCAUGUGUGUGGCGGCCAACGGCGAGGGCGACGCGUAAAUAUUUCGUGAGAACGAGAAAGGGCGAGUGUGCGAUCCGGGGGCACAUGCGGAUUGGGGUAAUUGUGUCGGGAAUUGUUUCUAAGUGAAGUCAAUCAGUGCGUGCGUGCAGUAAACAGUGGGACGGAUCCCCAGCACAAGCAGCAGUAGCAGUAACAGCAGGAGUUGUGUUCGGUUCUGUUCGUUCCGUAGUGCUUCGGUACGUCGCGGUCCGUGAAGUUGAAGUUUCUCCUGUUCCCGUUCCUGUUGUGGUGUGUUGCGGUUUCGUGAAGAAGAUCCCACAGGGUACAGGUGGCCAGAAAAGGGAGGCAGAAAAGAAGUGAUACAGCAACAGCAGCAGCAACACAUCGAAACGUAUCGCGCCUCAGUUCAAUUACUAUAACCAACCAACAAGUGAUUAACCUUUUAACUUUCGUGUGACGAGUAAGUGAUCAAAGCGUGAGAUCAAAACGCAGUGCAGCGAAGCAGCAAUUGGAGUUUUGUGUGUGUGUGGCAGCAGCCCUCCUCGUCACCAGACAGCGUACCCGCAAUCCAUCAUACAGAGACGACGACGACUGGACUCAACCGGAAACCGUUACCGCUGCUGCUCGAACUCGAACGACGCACACGUCACCAUCUGCAACUGGCGAGACCUACUAGCGGACCUACUAGACCAUGCAGCAUACCGUAGCAUAAGCAGUAGCGAGUGAUAGAUAGUAAAGCAAAAGCAAUAGCCCCCCUUCUUACUCCACUUGCAUCC